AUACGGAGGGGGUUAGCGUUGUUCGGAAUUACUGGGCGUAAAGCGCACGUAGGCGGACUGGAAAGUUGGGGGUGAAAUCCCGGGGCUCAACCCCGGAACUGCCUCCAAAACUUCCAAUCUAGAGAUCGAGAGAGGUCGGUGGAAUUCCAAGUGUAGAGGUGAAAUUCGUAGAUAUUUGGAGGAACACCAGUGGCGAAGGCGGCUCACUGGCUCGAUUCUGACGCUGAGGUGCGAAAGCGUGGGGAGCAAACAGGAUUAGAAACCCUUGUAGUCC
RNAcentral lists this ribosomal RNA (274 nucleotides) under uncultured bacterium. Its description in RNAcentral is "partial 16S ribosomal RNA". It matches the Rfam family "Bacterial small subunit ribosomal RNA", at positions 523 to 796 of the family's 1533-position model. The record is from RNAcentral.